Molecule: ribosomal RNA, 196 nt
Filed under: uncultured Oscillospiraceae bacterium
Lineage: Bacteria; Bacillati; Bacillota; Clostridia; Eubacteriales; Oscillospiraceae
Description: partial 16S ribosomal RNA
Source: RNAcentral
GGAGUCUGGGCCGUGUCUCAGUCCCAAUGUGGCCGUCCACCCUCUCAGGCCGGCUACCGAUCGUCGCCUUGGUGGGCCGUCGCCCCGCCUACUAUCUAAUCAGACGCAUCCCCAUCCCUUAGCGAUGAAUCUUUGGUUUGAUUUUGAUGUCAGCAUCAAACAACAUAGGGAAUUAAUCCGACUUUCGCCGGGCUGU